CGAGAAAGCCCGCAAGGGUGAGUACAGCGGCGCGCGGGUGCGUAACACGUGGGUAAUCUGCCCUGGAGCCCGGAAUAACUCCCCGAAAGGGGUGCUAAUGCCGGAUGAGACCACGGGAGCUUCGGCUCUCGCGGGAAAAGGUGGCCUCUGUAUACAAGCUAUCACUUCAGGAUGAGCCCGCGGCCCAUCAGCUAGUUGGCGGGGUAAAGGCCCACCAAGGCUACGACGGGUAGCUGGUCUGAGAGGACGAUCAGCCACACUGGAACUGAGACACGGUCCAGACUCCUACGGGAGGCAGCAGUGGGGAAUCUUGCGCAAUGGGCGAAAGCCUGACGCAGCAACGCCGCGUGUGUGAUGAAGGUCUUCGGAUCGUAAAGCACUGUCGCGAGGGACG
This 394-nucleotide ribosomal RNA is filed under the name uncultured Anaeromyxobacter sp. Its description in RNAcentral is "bacterial SSU rRNA". It matches the Rfam family "Bacterial small subunit ribosomal RNA", at positions 67 to 447 of the family's 1533-position model. Lineage: Bacteria; Pseudomonadati; Myxococcota; Myxococcia; Myxococcales; Anaeromyxobacteraceae. The record is from RNAcentral.